Non-coding RNA from Nicotiana tabacum (common tobacco), 183 nucleotides. NCBI's taxonomy places the organism in Eukaryota, Viridiplantae, Streptophyta, Magnoliopsida, Solanales, Solanaceae. The record is from RefSeq and is a predicted model, not a curated record.
AGCCUGGAUUUGGAGCUUUUCAUGCUGAUUUCCACAUUUUAAGGGGAAUGGUCACUCCAGGGAAGGACGAAAUAUUGCUACUUGUAACAAAUGUUGACAAUAUGGAGACAGCAUCCCGCAUCAUUGCUCCACCAGAAACAACCUUUCUUUUAAAUGGAACACGGCUGGAGGGGAAGACUAAGG